Molecule: long non-coding RNA, 914 nt
Organism: Cavia porcellus (domestic guinea pig)
Lineage: Eukaryota; Metazoa; Chordata; Mammalia; Rodentia; Caviidae
Exons: 2
Source: RefSeq, a predicted model, not a curated record
UGUGUUGAUCACCUGCUCAUUGUGCCAGAACUUUCUCUGGAACAGAAUGAUUUCUUCUGUAUUUGAGCUUUUGAAAUAUGUAGCAUUCAAAAUGCUAACUUUCAACUUGACUAAGUUGCUGACUUUUCUUCAAAAGGAAUAUUUAGAAAUUUUUUUAAAUGAAUAAGUAAUGAGGAUUUUGAAUCUCUGGGGUCUAGAAAUGGAAGGACAGGCUGUACCUAGGAAAACAUGCUUUGCAAAAGUGACUCUUCUUGUGAGAGCAUCUUUGAGAUAUCGGCUUGAGAGGACCAGAACAGGAAGAAAGCAAGCAUAUUUUGGGUUAAAAGAACAAAUUUGGGAGCCUGGAGACACUAAAGAUAUCUUCUGAUUAGGUGAAAGACUUGAGAUCUGCUGGUCCCAGAAGAUAGUUCUUUCGCCUGUCAAGAAAUUACCUGAAGGUGGUAAUUUGACUCUUCAGCUGGUCACUUUCCUCCCAGGCUGAAGUCUGAAAGUGCUUCAGGGUUUUUCUGGAGUCACAAGAGUCUUUGUGUCGGUUCUUCAGGAGGAAAUUACAAUGAUGACAGUUUCCAAAGAACCUCUGGAGAUGGAAAUUAGAGACAAUGAAACAUUUUUCAUAUAUUUCACUGGAAAUUGUCUUUGUAUCUGUGAAACUUUAGUACAUUGGGAAGGGGGGUGGAGGAUUUUCAUGCAUGUGUCCAGUUCUUUCUUCAUCUUUUAAAUUUUCCACUGCACUUGCCAGAGUGGAUGGAGCGCUCCUUUACACAGCUAUUUGGUGAUGUAUCUUCAUUAGCCUGCUAAUUAGUCUUUGGCCUGUUCUAUCCUCUUGGGAACCACUUCCUUCUCUGAGCAAAGAUUGAGUCCACUUACUUUUGCCAUAGUUUAAACACUUAUUAUAGCUAGAUUUUCACAGAAAA